This 25-nucleotide microRNA is filed under the name Echinococcus granulosus. RNAcentral's name for it is "egr-miR-10269-5p". The record is from miRBase by way of RNAcentral. Lineage: Eukaryota; Metazoa; Platyhelminthes; Cestoda; Cyclophyllidea; Taeniidae.
UGCAUUUCAUCACCUACUCCCAUCA